GGGGUCGUUACGGAUUCGACAGGCAUUAUGAGGCUUGUUUUGCAACCCAUCGGCAGAUGUCAAAAUGCCAGUUAAAUAUAACUGCAAAAAAUACAAAUUCUUACGCAGUAGCUGCCUAAACACCAGCCUGUGUGACUAAUAGCAGAUUGCUUGUGUUUGCCUAUUAGUCUUAAAAUCAGCAAGCUACAUUAGGUUGCAGUCAGGUCAGCCUAAAAGAGAUUUACUGACUCGCAAGAUUUGGGCUUGAGUUAUGUGUCGAGGUCUUGUUAAACCAAUACAUAACCUAUGGUUGUAGACGAAUAAGUUAGCAGGUGUUUGGACGUGGGUUCGACUCCCACCGGCUCCACCA
Molecule: transfer-messenger RNA, 349 nt
Filed under: Streptococcus criceti HS-6
Lineage: Bacteria; Bacillati; Bacillota; Bacilli; Lactobacillales; Streptococcaceae
Description: transfer-messenger RNA Strep_crice_HS6
Rfam family: transfer-messenger RNA
About the family: Bacterial tmRNA, also known as 10Sa RNA or SsrA, is named for its dual tRNA and mRNA-like properties. Its role is to liberate the mRNA from a stalled ribosome. To accomplish this part of the tmRNA is used as a reading frame that ends in a translation stop signal.
Source: RNAcentral